UAUCAUUAAUCUUUACAGCCAUUUGGCACAUUAGAUAUUCUUGUUAUCCUACUUUACAGAUGCCUAAGAGUGAAACAGCUAAUUGAUGGGCAGAGUUGGGAUACAAACCCAAGGUUUUGUUUGUUUCUGCUGGUAUACAGAUCAUAUCUCCACUCAGCCCUAGUCUUCCACAAAGAAACAGGACUUGAGGAAUCACCAACACUAAAUGCAGCCGCAGAUCUUUGCAGAAUGUACUGCCCUUAGUGUGAUUUUCCUUCAAUACUUACCUCUGUUUCAAAGAGCUUGGAGUAAAAUUAUUACUUCUAUUUGGGACAGAACACUUACACCAUUUCUAAAAAUGCUCGAGAAAAAGGAUAUAUUUUGGAGCAGACUUUAAGAGAACAUGAAAUGGGAGAGCGAGGUGGUUGUCUCAUGGAGUCGAGGAACGAAUCUCGCGGACAAAGGAGAAAAAGGUGUUGUUUCUAUGAAAACUGAAGAGGAGUGUCAGGUUGGAGUAUUAUCUGAAGGAAGAGGAUGGACAGUUCAAGAGUUCUGCUCCGCUUCACCCAGCAUGACCUUCAGCAUUAUAUUGAUUCCGGACUCCUUCACCUACCAUAUUGGAGCCAUGGGCUGCCUUCUUACUGACCCAUCAGGGCUAAAUUUAGGAUUGAAUGACAAUUUGAUGCAGGAAUAUCAGAAGCUGUGGAAUGCAGUCUUAACCUUUUCAGGGGAUGAUAACUUUGGAAGACCCAUGCCCUUGAGGACAACAUCCAGACCAUUUCUUACACAGGAAGACCCAUGUCACCCAGAAGUGCUGACAACAUUUUCAAGUUGAUCUCAUUCAGGACAGAAAAAGAUUAGCAGUAUAACCCUUGUACAGAAAAUAGAUCUUGCCCUUCAAAGUUUUGUCUUUUUGCAGCAUUGGUCCUGCUGCUUAGCUGCCAUACCUAGCGCACCUUCUUUGCCUUUCUCUUAUUUUAUUUGUUUGUUUAUUUAAGUGAGAACAUGAGAAAGGGAGCUAACAUUUAUUAAGCACUUAUUCUGUUAGGUAUUGUGCUUUGCCCUUCACAUGAUAUUUGAAUUUGUUUUUCAAAACAGCCCUACUCAUAUUAGUGUCAUUCUCAUUUUACAGAUAAGAUCUUGGGAAGUUGUUUUAAUCACAUAGCAAAUUCAUGGUAGAGAGAAGAUUUGGAUUCAUUUCUGUUUGUCUCCAUAGCCAAGCAGAGAAGAUACCUUGUGGUGAUAUCUUUAGUGUAUUUUCUACAAAAAGUAAAAGUUUUGCUCAAGUAUAUUUGCAGAAACGAGCUUGUAUUUAAGUAGAUCUCGGGAAAUUGUGAUUGACAGAUUAGACCAGUCUGUUUAUAUAGAAAAACUUUAUUUGGGAUUUAAUGAAAUAUAUGAAGGUUCUUUAAGUUUCAACUAUUCAGAGAUACAGAAUCAACUUUAUUACUAUUUCAUUUUAUUAAUACUGAUGAUUAAAUUUAUAAUUUUUAUAAACUUUACAACUUGCUUCUUUUGGUCUAUGGAAAAAAUAGGUAUAUUUCUUACUGUGGUUCAGAAUAAAUACUUGUUUUUUCCAGAUUGCA
This is a long non-coding RNA of Ursus maritimus (polar bear), 1565 nucleotides long. NCBI's taxonomy places the organism in Eukaryota, Metazoa, Chordata, Mammalia, Carnivora, Ursidae. The record is from Ensembl.